Pseudomyrmex gracilis is the source of this 1756-nucleotide RNA transcript. It is a transcript of the gene named lipopolysaccharide-induced tumor necrosis factor-alpha factor homolog, with no coding region annotated. The transcript has 5 exons. The record is from RefSeq and is a predicted model, not a curated record. Lineage: Eukaryota; Metazoa; Arthropoda; Insecta; Hymenoptera; Formicidae.
UGAUCGGUGACAUCCAGAGUUCCUAUCCUUGACGAUCCUUUUGUUUCGUGGCCAGGCGUCGUGCGCGGGUGCGGGUUUCGUUCUGUUCUCUCUGUUGCGUGUCUCUUCCUGAUUCUUUCUUUUUUUUCGCAAUCUUUAGCACGCGAGAAACACGUCGCGCAAAAACACGUAUCGCGUUUGUCGUACAAAGUUUUUUUUUUUUUUCUGACGCGUUGAUUUCGCGAUUUUGUUGUGUCGCUUGUUGCCGUUCGACAAGGAAUGGAAAGAACCCAGGGAUAAGCCGUAAUUCGGCAACCAUUGCAAGCCUAAAUUCAACGGUCACAAAACACGAAAAAAAAUGGAGAAACCAAACUUUGAGGGGCCUAAUGUUCAACCAACAGCUCCUUUACCAACAGCUCCUCCAUCUUAUGAAGAAGCUAUAGCUAAUGCAGGACCACCUGUGCAUCCUCCAGUUGGUCCUGCACCUUAUCCUAUAGGACUUCCUCCUGUACAAAUGCCGAUUCCAUAUAAUCAAUCAGCAAAUCAAACAGUAAUAUCAGCGCCGGUGUAUCCAUCAUCGAGCCAAUCAGCACAAUCACAGCCACAUUUUAAUGCUGAUCCAAAUUCUGUACCUCAUCCGGAAGUACGGGUUAUUCAUCAACAUUUAACGUAUACUCUAGGGCCGCAUGCCGUGAAAAUGACUUGUCCCUCGUGUCAUGUCGAUAUCAAAACUAGCACGAUAUCGGAUCAUAAGCUGUGUGCUCACAUUUGUUGCUUCCUGAUGUGCAUAUUUGGAUGCUUCCUGUGUUCAUGCCUACCGUACUGUAUGACUGCCUGUAUGACGACACAUCAUUUCUGUCCAAACUGCAAAAAUUAUAUUGGCACAUGGAAAAAUUGAUCUCGAAGAUACAUAUGCUUGUAUAUAACUUGCAGCAUUCCAAUAGAUUAAGAAGUUGUGCAGUUCCAUAAAGAGUUACUCGAUUUAUUAUCACACAUUAAUAAUAACAGAAAAAUUGCUGAGUAAUGUUAUACAUAUGUUGUACCUUACAUAAGUAAGAUAGCGGGACAGAGAAUAUCUUACGACUCGUGAAUCAAGAGCUCAAGAGACAUGUAAGAGAUAAAUGUUUCUCAAUUACUUUCAUUUGUCAUUUAUACAUUUAAGAUAUAGUUCUUAGUUCAAUUUUUUGAAGUUUAAAAUUGUAAACCACUCCUGAUGUCUAAACAGUAUUAGAUUUAAUAUUACUCUGAUAUUUAAAUUUGCAUAUUUGCGAAUAUUUAUGAAGUUAGAAAAAUAGUCAUUAGACUGUUACAAAAUUAUAUGAAUAUUACAAUGAGCAAUAUUUUGCUAUUUGAAAAAAACAUUGCUCAAUAUAAAGUUUUUUUAAUGUCACAAAAUGCAUUUUUUACAUAUUUUAUUUUAGCUCCAUUUAUAUGAUUGUGUCGAUAGAGCGCAUUUAAUUAAGUGUUCAGCAAUAAGCCAACUGCAAAAUCUCUACUGCAAUUACAGAUAAGUUAAGACUACUAAGAAACUUAGAUAUAAAAUAAAAGAUAUUUUAGAGUUGUGAAUAAUCUUAUAUUUAACUGAUUAUGUUUUUGGCAGUUAAUCAGAACGUAAGAAGAAUUUUAUUUAGGGCAGCAUAAUUCUUGCACAAAAGAGUAUAUUUUGCAAUGAGAGACUUGUAUCAGGCAUUUCAAAAAACUUAAGCUAGUCUGUGUUGGAAUGUAUUUUAUUUUAUCAAUUUUGCGUUUAUUUUAUGUAAGUAAUAUGUGCUAUACG